AAUAGAUACCCGGGUAGUCCACGCCGUAAACGAUGAGUGCUAAGUGUUAGAGGGUUUCCGCCCUUUAGUGCUGCAGCUAACGCAUUAAGCACUCCGCCUGGGGAGUACGGUCGCAAGACUGAAACUCAAAGGAAUUGACGGGGGCCCGCACAAGCGGUGGAGCAUGUGGUCUAAUUCGAAGCAACGCGAAGAACCUUACCAGGUCUUGACAUCCUCUGACAACUCUAGAGAUAGAGCGUUCCCCUUCGGGGGACAGAGUGACAGGUGGUGCAUGGUUGUCGUCAGCUCGUGUCGUGAGAUGUUGGGUUAAGUCCCGCAACGAGCGCAACCCUUGAUCUUAGUUGCCAGCAUUUAGUUGGGCACUCUAAGGUGACUGCCGGUGACAAACCGGAGGAAGGUGGGGAUGACGUCAAAUCAUCAUGCCCCUUAUGACCCGGGCUACACACGUGCUACAAUGGAUGGUACAAAGAGCUGCGAACCCGCGAGGGUAAGCGAAUCUCAUAAAGCCAUUCUCAGUUCGGAUUGU
Molecule: ribosomal RNA, 526 nt
Filed under: uncultured bacterium
Lineage: Bacteria
Description: bacterial SSU rRNA
Rfam family: Bacterial small subunit ribosomal RNA
Source: RNAcentral